This 1032-nucleotide long non-coding RNA is filed under the name Ornithorhynchus anatinus (platypus). RNAcentral's name for it is "lncRNA (ENSOANG00000048511.1)". The record is from RNAcentral. Lineage: Eukaryota; Metazoa; Chordata; Mammalia; Monotremata; Ornithorhynchidae.
AAAAGCAAGCAGACACACUAGCCACAUUUGGCUCACUACCCUGGCUGUGUUCUGGCUAUCGGACUUCAAUCUUGCUGUAAUGAAUAUUGGGUUGUUUUGGGAUUUUUUAAUUGCAGAAGCCUGCAGAUGGAUGGGAUAAACACUGUACUUUACUAGCGCAAAAAGGGGCAUACCUUUCCAACUCUCCUGAUUUCUGUGCUUCGCUCCUGCCCACCACCAUCCAGGGACACGCUGCCUUUAAUCGUUUUCACUGAUAGUAGCCAUCCCGGGGAGGGAGAUGUGAGAUUCAUCUCGUCCUCUCUCCUGCUUUGACUCUGGAUGCUACUGCAGAGGCAGGGUUGCCAGCAAUGUCUCAGCCUGCAUUGCUGCUUUCCAGAGCCACAGAGCCGUUCCGCUGAGACAGUGUACCUAGCCAGAAAGAUUUAGGGGAGGCUGUUUCCUAAAAGAGUGAUAGCUGAAUGGAGAAAACCAAAUUAAAAAAGAGCUGUUUGGCCGCAUUCCUCCAAUGACUAGCAUAAUUGUACAGUGCAGAGAGAGUCAGCCUGUAGGAAGUUAGGGCAAGGGGGAGGGGGCAUUGUCAUCUUUGAAGAGUCAUUUGGAGCAGUUCAGUUGGGCAUUAAAGUUUGUGUGGGAGUGUUUUCCCUUUGUCAAUAAUUAAUCAUUAGGCUCAGCCUAACAGGAGCUGGUUCUAAGCAAUAGAGGCUGGGGUGGAGCUGUAAGAAUCCUAGCUCAGAGACGGUCAGCAGCGCUCUAUGCAGUGAGGAGUCACACAGCUCAGCAGAUACAGCUCACCCUACCCAGAACAAGAGGAACAGCCACAGAAGGGAAAUUGCAGCUUCAUCUAUAUUUUACAGAGGAAAGAAAUCUAUUUUUAAGAGAACUCCCAACAUUCUGGAAAUUUUUCCACCAAAGGACGCUAUUAAUUCACCCAGCAUAUUCUAAGGUAAAAGCCUGGCUGCCUUCCAGAAGUACUUUUCUUGCAUUCUAACUGCACAAAUUUCUCCUUGCCCUUUCCCUCAGACAACAAUUAAU